GAUGAAGAACGUAGUGAAAUGCGAAAAGUAAUGUGAUUUGCAGAAUUCAGUGAAUCAUCGAAUCUUUGAACGCACAUUGCGCCCGCUGGUACUCCGGCGGGCACGCCUGUCCGAGCGUCAUUUCAACCCUCAAGCCCUCCUUCGGGAUGGGCCUGGUGUUGGGGCUCGGCCGCCAUCUCCGGCGGCCGUCCCCUAAAUACAGUGGCGGUCACGUCGCGACUCCUUUGCGUAGUAGAAACACCUCGCUCCGGAUAGCAACGCGGUCCACGCCGUAAAACCCCCAAUUUUCAAUGGUUGACCUCGGAUCAGGUGGGAAUACCCGCUGAACUUAAGCAUAUCAAUAAGCGGAGGA
Molecule: unclassified non-coding RNA, 352 nt
Filed under: soil metagenome
Description: partial contains 5.8S ribosomal RNA, internal transcribed spacer 2, and large subunit ribosomal RNA
Rfam family: 5.8S ribosomal RNA (bases 1-120)
Source: RNAcentral